Molecule: long non-coding RNA, 262 nt
Filed under: Homo sapiens (human)
Lineage: Eukaryota; Metazoa; Chordata; Mammalia; Primates; Hominidae
Description: non-protein coding LINC00467:14
Source: RNAcentral
AUAUUAACUCAAGGUAAAUUAUAAUAGGAUUGCAGAUAAAUUAAGCAUCUUUAUCUUUGAUUACAGAGAUAUUUAGCAUAUGACUAUAGAUAAUUUCCCCUUCAUAUUUUCUUGGGCUUCUAGUAUUUAUGUAUCAAGAAAAUUAUUUCCUUAUGUUUGAAAUGGUGACAUUUCUGAAAUGUACCAGCAGAGGAUACAGGGAUUUUUGUUUGUUUUUCAUUUUCUUAUUUACUGAAGAAAUAAAGGCAUUUUAGUUUAUAAA